UGGGGAAUAUUGCACAAUGGGCGAAAGCCUGAUGCAGCAACGCCGCGUGAGUGAUGAAGGCCUUCGGGUUGUAAAGCUCUAUCUUUUGGGACGAUAAUGACGGUACCAAAGGAGGAAGCCACGGCUAACUACGUGCCAGCAGCCGCGGUAAUACGUAGGUGGCAAGCGUUGUCCGGAUUUACUGGGCGUAAAGGAUGCGUAGGCGGAUUUUUAAGUGAGAUGUGAAAUACCCGGGCUUAACUUGGGUGCUGCAUUUCAAACUGGGAAUCUAGGUGCGGGAGAGGAGAAUGGAAUUCCUAGUGUAGCGGUGAAAUGCGUAGAGAUUAGGAAGAACACCAGUGGCGAAGGCGAUUCUCUGGACCGUAACUGACGCUGAGGCAUGAAAGCGUGGGUAGCAAACAGGAUUAGAUACCCUGGUAGUCCACGCCGUAAACGAUGAGUACUAGGUGUAGGAGGUAUCGACCCCUUCUGUGCCGCAGUUAACACAAUAAGUACUCCGCCUGGGAAGUACGAUCGCAAGAUUAAAAACUUAAAUGAAUUGACGGGGGUCAUAGCUGUUUUCCU
Molecule: ribosomal RNA, 564 nt
Filed under: uncultured bacterium
Lineage: Bacteria
Description: partial 16S ribosomal RNA
Rfam family: Bacterial small subunit ribosomal RNA
Source: RNAcentral